This 399-nucleotide ribosomal RNA is filed under the name uncultured bacterium. RNAcentral's name for it is "bacterial SSU rRNA". It matches the Rfam family "Bacterial small subunit ribosomal RNA", at positions 28 to 417 of the family's 1533-position model. The record is from RNAcentral.
GACGAACGCUGGCGGCGUGCUUAACACAUGCAAGUCGAGCGGUAAGGCCCUUUCGGGGUACGACGAGCGGCGAACGGGUGAGUAACACGUGGGUGGACCUCGCCCUCCAGCUCUGGGAGUAAGACCCGGGAAACCGUAGGGUCGUAAUAACUGGAUAUGACUCCACGGUGCAUGCCGUGGGGUGGAAAGCCUUGUGCGGCUGAGGAUGGGCCCGGCGGCCUAUCAGCUUGUUGGUGGGGUGAUGGCCUACCAAGGCGACGACGGGUAGCCGGCCUGAGAGGGCGACCGGCCACACUGGGACUGAGACACGGCCCAGACUCCUACGGGAGGCAGCAGUGGGGAAUCUUGCGCAAUGGGCGAAAGCCUGACGCAGCGACGCCGCGUGAGGGAUGACGGCCU